UUGCUUUGAAAUGGGGGGUGGGGGCGGGUGGGGGCUCUGGUUGGUGGUUCCUGAGAAAUUGAAUGACAGGAGAACUGGCAGCACACGAGGCUUUCUUCUUGGGGCGGUCCUGUCCUCAGGGCCUUGGGCACAGUCCCUGCCUCACUGUUCAGUCUUGUGAAAUGUGGAUGGGGGAUGGGGUUAGUCCCUUCCUCUUAAGGUGAUUAAUGAGCCAAAUGUUUGCAAGAUGUCUGGAGACGCUUGCUGGAAAUUUUAAAACUAAUUCUUCCAAAACCAUUUUCCCAAACCCAGUUUUAUCGAAUUCCUGAGCCCCAAACCAAAUAUAACUCUAAAAUGAUGUUUCAAAGGAGCAAGGUCACAGUGACACCACCUGCCAUAAACCUUGUCGUGAACAUUGGAAGAACCUUGCCCAGCUGAGCCCAGGGAAGUUGUGUCUUAGCCUAACCGUUUCAUUCCGUUUCUCUGACUUUGCAAUUACCAGAAGUAUGAACUUCGUUUGGAACGACAUUUGUCCAAGGUUAUGAUAACAAACAACUGUCUCUCCAGUGAUGCAUUUGUUCCGUGCACCCAGCUCAAGGCCCUUCUCCUGCUUUUCUCUCAAGUCUCACUCGUCCUCCAUCAUCUGGGCCAGAAAGUUCCUGCUUCAGAGCUGAAGGUGGCCGUGUGGUUUUCACCUCAAAUCUUCAGCAAGAGCUAGAGAGAAAAAGAGUCUGAACAAUCAGUCACAUUUCCUGUGGAGUCCCAGUAAUAUCCCUGACUUACGCACACACAGGAGAUGAAGCACAUUACCGACCUGUAUGAAAGUGUCAACAGUACAAUGAGCAAUAAAUCAGACUGUCCUCCUGUGGUUUUGCCAGAGGAGGUAUUUUUCACAAUAUCUGUCAUUGGGGUUUUGGAGAAUCUGAUCGUCCUUCUGGCUGUGAUCAAGAACAAGAAUCUUCAGUCACCCAUGUACUUUUUCAUCUGCAGCCUGGCCAUUUCUGACAUGCUGGGCAGCCUGUACAAGAUCCUGGAAAACAUCCUGAUCAUUUUCAGAAACAUGGGUUACCUGGAGCCUCGAGGCGGUUUUGAAAGCACAGCCGACGACGUAGUGGACUCCCUGUUCAUCCUCUCCCUGCUCGGCUCCAUCUGCAGCCUGAGCGCCAUCGCCGCAGACCGCUACAUCACCAUCUUCCAUGCCCUGCAGUACCAGCGCCUUGUCACCCCACGCCGCGCUGCUGUGGUCCUGUUGAUCAUCUGGGCAUGCUGCAUAGGCAGUGGCAUCACCAUCGUGACCUUCUCCCACCAUGUCCCCGCAGUGAUCGCCUUCACAGCACUGUUCCCGCUGAUGCUGGUGUUCAUCCUAUGCCUCUAUGGGCACAUGUUCCUGCUGGCCCGCUCCCACGCCAGGAGGGUCUCCACCCUCCCCCGGGCCAACAUGAAAGGGGCCAUCACACUGACUGUCCUGCUUGGGGUCUUCAUCUUCUGUUGGGCCCCCUUUGUCCUGCACAUCCUCUUGAUGACAUUCUGCCCAGCUGACCCCUACUGCGCCUGCUACCUGGCCCUCUUCCAGGUGAACGCUGUAUUGAUCAUGUGUAAUGCUAUCAUCGACCCCUUCAUAUAUGCCUUCCGGAGCCCAGAGCUCAGGGAUGCAUUCAAAAAGAUGAUCAUCUGCAAGAGGUACCCAUAGAAUGAUCAGUCCCUGAUUUUAGGAGCCUCAGGGACAAUGUUGUCAAGUGACAAAAUAAUGCUAUACAGCAGCAAAUGUUAAGGCUCCAGUGUCCUUUCCCCCCCAAGAUGGGCACAAGGUGAAUCCCACUGACUGGUAUAAUAGUUUGGGUUUAUGGGCACAGCUUUGCUGUAGGUACAACUUUUAUAGCUAGAAAGAUAACAUAAUUACUGAAAAGCAGCAGAAUCCAAAGCACAUACAGCAAUACACAUGAGAGAGCACCAGGCCAAGGGAAAACUUGUUUCUCUGUAGACAUCUAGCAAGCCUAUCCCAGAGUGGCCUCUCUGCAGAGCUGGACCAUGUGCUCAGGGCACAAACUGUGUUCAGGGUCCUUAUCAGCCAAAGGGCCAGGAAACUGCAGCAGCUGAAUCUGCCUGCCCUACAUCCCUACCAGCCAGCCCACCUCCUGCUUUACACCAUCAAAAAUCUUUUUGGAAGUGGGCAGGAUAUACAUUAUAAAUGUCAAACAACCAGCUUGGAGUUUCCAAUAAGACAGGAAGGUCCUCUGAUAGUUUUCUUUGCAAACUCAGUAUCCACUGGCCUGAAAAUCCUUUUCUGGUUAAAACUACUCAUGCUUUAGGGGUAUAUAUUUCUGAGGAGGAAACAAAAGCUUAGCCCACUUGAUUCCUCUGUGGGAAUAAAGGCCAGAAGAAAACUAUUUGAAGAAGGUAUAACCAAUCUUUGGGUAUCAAACAUAGACAUAAUGCAAACAGGCCCCAAUAUGGAUUUUGUGGACUGAGUGUGUAUUGGUCUGUGUGAGUGUGUGUGUUUGUGUGUCCACCAUACAUUUGGACUCUGGGGGAAACCAAGGCCAAAACAAGACUUCGGGACAGUGCUGUUACUGAGACCCAUGAGACCGAUGAACAACAUUUAACCUCCUUCCAGAUGAGUCUGAGAAGCAGAUCCAAUCACUGGAAAAUGUCAUCCUUCCAUCAGCCACAUGCUGAAAAGUGGCAUGCCCAACAGGAUAAAAGAAGCAAGCAUUUUAAGUUCAUCCAAUUUUAAUAGCUAAAGAAAAACUUCAGAGUUCCCAUCAUUCCCCUAGUGCCAUUAACAAAUCCGACUAGGAACCAUGAGGGUACGGGUUCGAUACCUGGCCUUGCUCAGUGGGUUAAGGGUCUGGCGUUGCCGUGAGCUGUGGUGUAGGUUGCAGAAUGCAGCUCCGAUCCUGUGUAGCUGUGGCUGUGGUGUAGGCUGGGGGCUACCGCUCCAAUUCGGCCCCUAGCCUGGGAACCUCCAUAUGCCACGGGUGUGGCCCC
Molecule: long non-coding RNA, 2967 nt
Filed under: Sus scrofa (pig)
Lineage: Eukaryota; Metazoa; Chordata; Mammalia; Artiodactyla; Suidae
Description: lncRNA (ENSSSCG00025049403.1)
Source: RNAcentral